Molecule: non-coding RNA, 29 nt
Filed under: Mus musculus (house mouse)
Lineage: Eukaryota; Metazoa; Chordata; Mammalia; Rodentia; Muridae
Source: RNAcentral
GGAUAGAAAUAAAUAAACCCACUGGUGAC